Molecule: long non-coding RNA, 286 nt
Filed under: Elaeis guineensis (African oil palm)
Lineage: Eukaryota; Viridiplantae; Streptophyta; Magnoliopsida; Arecales; Arecaceae
Description: long non-coding RNA (EGUI_LNC028451)
Source: RNAcentral
AUAUUGACUAAAAAUAAUUGAAAUAAAGGUAAAAUUUUGAAAGAAUUUUUGAUUAAUUUUUAUAAUAUCACUAAUAUUCUUUUUGAUGUUUAUUAUCUAAUCUCUUAUUUAUUUUUACAAUAAGUAUAUUUUAUUAAUCAAAAAUUUAUACAACAUAGAUAAGAUGAUAUUUUAGAGCUUAUUAUUUAUGAAAUAAAAUCUAAAUAAAAUGAGUACUGGGAUAGAAUAUGUCCUAUGCAUAACUUAACUGCUAUAUUUGAUCUACAUAUUAAGUUAAGUGGUGUGC